This 2086-nucleotide long non-coding RNA is filed under the name Mus musculus (house mouse). RNAcentral's name for it is "predicted gene, 47096". Lineage: Eukaryota; Metazoa; Chordata; Mammalia; Rodentia; Muridae. The record is from RNAcentral.
UUUUUCUGCCUUCUGCCCUCCUAAGCCUACGUAAUAGGGCGUGGCUGUGGAGAGAGGGAGGGGCGGGGAGUUUGUUGGAGCUGAGUGCUUGGGAGAGGCACCGCUUCGGAAGGGGAGGAAAUGAUACACAGGAUGAAGAUGAAGAGGACGACGAAGAGGAGGAGCUUGAGCUAUCUGAAUCUGUUUCACUGUCCGAAUCCGAGUCCAAGGAGUCCGAGGCCUGCAGCACUGGCGGCGGCUCCGCGGCGUUCGGGCCGGGGACGCAGACCCCGCUCGGCAGCGGCGGUCUUCCGCCGGGAUCCGAGUUCGGGGCUGGCGGCGGCGGCGGUCUUCCCCCGGGAUCCAAGUUCGGGGCUGGCGGCGGCGGUCUUCCCCCGGCAUCCGAGUUCGGGGCUGGCGGCGGCGGCGGUCUUCCCCCGGGAUCCGAGUUCGGGGCUGGCGGCGGCGGUCUUCCACCGGCAUCCCAGUUCGGGGUUGGCGGCGGCGGCGAUCUUCCGCUGGGAUCCGAGCUCGGGGCUAGCGGCGUCGGUCUUCCGCCGGCGUCCCAGUUCGGGGUUGGCGGAGGCGGCGGUCUUCCGCCGGGAUCCGAGUUCGGGGCUGGCGGCGGCGGCUGCUCCCCCGGCGGCGGGGCCUCCCGGCGCUCCUGAGGUGGCGGCGAAGCUGCCGACCCCUGGCCUGAGCCACCGAACUUGAGCGUCUGCAGUUGCUCGGUGGCCUCCACCACCUCCAUGGCGCAGCCCAGGGCGCAGAGCAGCGCGAGGGUCCCCUCAGAAGCCGAGCUAGCCAACGCGGCCGCGCUGAAAUCCCAGUAAUGAAUUUUUAAUUCUGGGUCUAUUAGACCUCAGUGGAUAAAUAUAGGAGUAUAAAUACAAUGCUUGAGCUUUGGUCUAAGGCCAUUACAAAGAGAAUUCAAGUAACAAUGUUAGUAUGUAGUUAGUUGUAUUAGGGUUCUCUAGAGUCACAGAACUUAUGGAUAGUCUCUAUAUAGUAAAGGAAUUUAUUGAUGACUUACAGUCUGCAGUCCAAUUCCCAACAAUGGUUCAGUAGUAGCUAUGAAUGGAAGUCCAAGGAUCUAGCAGUUACUCAAUCCCAAACGGCAAGCAGGAGAGGGGCAAGAGCGAGACUCCCUGCUUCCAAUGUCCUUAUAUUGUCUCCAGCAGAAGGUGUAGCCCAGAUUAAAGGUGUGUUCCACCACACCUUUAAUCCCAGAUGACCUUGAACUUGGAGAUUUAAUCUUCUGGAAUCCAUAGCCACUAUGCCUCUAGAUCUCCAUACCAAGAUCCAGAUCAGAAACUUCUAUCUCCCAGCCUCCAGAGAAGGGUCACUGGUGAGCCUUCCAAUUCUGGAUUGUAGUUCAUUCCAAAUAUAGUCAAGUUGACAACCAGGAAUAGCUACUACAGUAGUUCUCAUGGAAACCUAUCUGUUUUCUCUUAUUCCUUUUCUUAUUUACAUGUUCCUGGUAGCCUAGGCCAAGAUCUUAAGCGAGAAUAAUGGGUAAGAAACCAUCCCUAGAGAUGGGGCCAUUAACAUGACCAUAUUAUCCCCAGGGAAAUCAACACUUUACUUUCUAAAUCAUUUACAGAACCAUUAUGAUAGAUAAAAAACUUUCCCAACAAUAAAAUUUCAUGUGGCUACACGUGUGCCAUCGGAGGUGGAUUUUGGUAUAUGGUAAAGAAAGCCUUAAUUAGAAAGAAUUAAAAUAGUUUAAAUUUAUACAUUGAAGAUUAUAAAAAAUCAGGCACUAGAUGUUAAAUAAUAAUUGACAAUGAGACUGGAAAGUUAGUUCAGUGGUUAAGAGCACUGACCGUUAAAGAUUUAUUAACCUGCUCCUGGAAAUAUGACACUAGCCUUGAAGACAGUCCCCACUGAAUAUAUCAUUUUAGAAUGGUUACAUUUUGAUGACUUAUGAUGUUAUCUGUUCUGUUUGGGAUUCACUGAAUACAUAGUUUAAGAGUUGUAAUGCAGCUGGGCAUGGUGGCGCACACCUUUGAUCCCAGCACUGGGGAGGCAGAGGCAGGCGGAUUUUUGAGUUCGAGGCCAGCCUGGUCUACAAAAUGAGUUCCAUGACAGCCAGGGCUAUACAGAG